Long non-coding RNA from Pistacia vera, 713 nucleotides. RefSeq lists it as uncharacterized. The record is from RefSeq and is a predicted model, not a curated record. NCBI's taxonomy places the organism in Eukaryota, Viridiplantae, Streptophyta, Magnoliopsida, Sapindales, Anacardiaceae. The transcript is spliced from 2 exons.
ACGACCCAACCUUCUCUUUGAUUAAAUCUUCUUUCCCCCGUUCUUCGCUUGCCAUGGCCGGAAUCGAACUCGAUUGGGGUAGACUUUGUAAAGACGUCCUCUUCUCCAUUGUCAAACUUCUCCCCGCACGAAUCGAUAUCCUUCGUUGCGCGCCGCUUGUCGCUUAUUUUGCUCCACUAUUCCUCUUCCUUAAAAACAUUACCCAUUCCCACCCUACAUUCUAAUCACCACCGACUUCCUCAAAGACCCGAACUUUAUCGAAAAUGACGUUAGAAUGACGUCUUAACCUCAGGGAUUCCACUAUUUACUCCAUCGAGCCCCUCAACAGAAUCUCCAAUACCCAGGACGAAGAAACUCCUCAAACGUGGGUGGUCAGAGUCCAAGAGUUAAACUCAGGCAAGAGCUUAUGGCCGGUGCUGGUGAGGAGAAACAGAGAAGAGGCAGCGGAGAUAAUUGUGAGAGAAACAUUCCAAGGUUCAUGACUUGAUUGUUAAAGAAGGUAGCAUGGUGACCGUGGAUUUUUGUUGUGGUUAGGAUAGGUUUUGAGUGUUGGUAAUAUGAACAUCACAAAUUGGAUACUUAAUUAGCUACUGGUGCUUGCUAUUUAUUUUUUUGUGUAGUACUUGUUUGUAUCCAAAUCUCGGAUGUUGAUGUAUAAAGAAUUUGCUAAAAAGACAAAAUUAUUAUGAAUUGAGAACUCUGACUUGUUGAAA